GGGGAUUUGGCUCAGUGGUAGAGCGCUUGCCUAGCAAGCACAAGGCCCUGGGUUCGGUCCCCAGCUCUU
This 69-nucleotide transfer RNA is filed under the name Rattus norvegicus (Norway rat). It matches the Rfam family "tRNA". Rfam says of the family: Transfer RNA (tRNA) molecules are approximately 80 nucleotides in length. Lineage: Eukaryota; Metazoa; Chordata; Mammalia; Rodentia; Muridae. The record is from Rfam by way of RNAcentral.